This is a small nuclear RNA of Sorex araneus (European shrew), 115 nucleotides long. The record is from Ensembl. NCBI's taxonomy places the organism in Eukaryota, Metazoa, Chordata, Mammalia, Eulipotyphla, Soricidae.
GUGCUCACUCUUCUUCAGCAACACAUAUACUAAAAUUGGAACAAUGCAGGGAAGAUUAGCAUGGCCCCUCCCCAAGGAUGACACACACAUCAGUGGGAAAAUUCUCUAUAAAUUU